GUUGAACGCUGGCGGCGUGCCUAAUACAUGCAAGUCGAGCGAACAGACGAGGAGCUUGCUCCUCUGACGUUAGCGGCGGACGGGUGAGUAACACGUGGAUAACCUACCUAUAAGACUGGGAUAACUUCGGGAAACCGGAGCUAAUACCGGAUAAUAUAUUGAACCGCAUGGUUCAAUAGUGAAAGACGGUUUUGCUGUCACUUAUAGAUGGAUCCGCGCCGCAUUAGCUAGUUGGUAAGGUAACGGCUUACCAAGGCAACGAUGCGUAGCCGACCUGAGAGGGUGAUCAGCCACACUGGAACUGAGACACGGCCCAGACUCCUACGGGAGGCAGCAGUAGGGAAUUUUCCGCAAUGGGCGAAAGCCUGACGCAGCAACGCCGCGUGAGUGAUGAAGGCCUUCGGGUCGUAAACCUCUGUUAUAAGGAAAGAACAAGUGUGUAAGUAACUAUGCACCUAUUGACGGUACCUUAACAGAAAGCCACGGCUAACUACGUG
This 497-nucleotide ribosomal RNA is filed under the name uncultured bacterium. Its description in RNAcentral is "partial 16S ribosomal RNA". It matches the Rfam family "Bacterial small subunit ribosomal RNA", at positions 28 to 507 of the family's 1533-position model. The record is from RNAcentral.